AGCAGCUCUUGAACUAGGGUUUCAGAGCUUUAUUCAGCUAUAUAUAACCCCACGAGUUCCCUUCACUUCAUCGCUUGCAGUUUUUGGUGCAUCAUUCUUUCUCAGAAGGAUAUGUGUAAGGUGUAGUGGAGCCAAGUCCCUGCUUGUAAGGGAGAACCUACUUGGUGGAAGCUACAUUACAAUGACAUUAAUGGAUAACGCUGAAGCAAAUUGAAUUUUUCAAGUUGAUUGUUUUUGUAAUUAUUUCAAACGUGAAUUUUGUCUUGUUCUUCAUUCUGCUGAGUUUAACUAUACCCUUAUAUCCUUUGCAAUGGAGUUAGGGUCUGAAAAACUCAGAAAUUGGUUGUGUUGUCAUCAGCUUCGUCUCCCAUAACCUACGAGAUUGGAGUUAAAUAACAGCACUAAAUUUGGUCCCUUUGAUUUAUUUAAAUCUGUUUUUGUUUAUGUUAUUUGAUUAUCUUUGAUACCUCCUUAAUUUAUGUUGAUUGUUGUUUAUGAAUUUGAUUGCAGGUUCAUGAUUGAGAUAAACGCAUCAUGUGCUGUAAUUUAGAUGGAAAUAGUUGUAAAUGAUAAAGUUGUAAAUACACAUUAUGGGCUGUACUAUAUUAUUUCUUAACCUAAUCAAGAAUUUACAUUAUUUGUUUGUAAACAAGUCUAAUCUUUUGUGAACUAGUCGAAAUUGAAUUAAAUAAAAAAUUUGAUUGAACUCCACUUAAUUA
This is a long non-coding RNA of Manihot esculenta (cassava), 719 nucleotides long. RefSeq lists it as uncharacterized. NCBI's taxonomy places the organism in Eukaryota, Viridiplantae, Streptophyta, Magnoliopsida, Malpighiales, Euphorbiaceae. The record is from RefSeq and is a predicted model, not a curated record. The transcript has 2 exons.